Molecule: long non-coding RNA, 411 nt
Filed under: Monodelphis domestica (gray short-tailed opossum)
Lineage: Eukaryota; Metazoa; Chordata; Mammalia; Didelphimorphia; Didelphidae
Description: lncRNA (ENSMODG00000044146.1)
Source: RNAcentral
AUGAUGACAAACCGAACAACCAUGUUGGCAGUGAAUAAGGUGUUUCACUCAUGUCUGAUUCUUUGUGACAUUGUUUGGGAUUUUCUUGGAAAAAAGACUGGAGUGGUCCACUAUACCACCCAGGCAUCUCCCUAGUGAAGAGAACAAUAGUAAUUAUCCUAGAAAUUUGGAGACCACAUUAUAAGUCUGGUGUGGAUGGCAAAGUUAAGGAGGGAGAGGAGCAAGAAGCAUAGAUCCUGGAAGCAUCUAGCCUCUUCAUCCUACAGGAGAGGAAACUGACACCUUACUUAAGGCCACACUGUCACUCAGUGGUAGAACCAAGACUAGAGCCUAGCUCAAUUGUUCAUCAGACUGUGUUUUUUCUGCUAAUUACAAAAUAAACUAUAGUAGAUAUUUUAAAUAAAGCCCUUA